RNAcentral lists this ribosomal RNA (460 nucleotides) under uncultured bacterium. RNAcentral describes it as "partial 16S ribosomal RNA". It matches the Rfam family "Bacterial small subunit ribosomal RNA", at positions 338 to 795 of the family's 1533-position model. The record is from RNAcentral.
CCUACGGGAGGCAGCAGUGAGGAAUAUUGGUCAAUGGACGCAAGUCUGAACCAGCCAUGCCGCGUGCAGGAAGACGGCCCUAUGAGUUGUAAACUGCUUUUGUACGAGGGUAAACGCAGAUACGCGUAUCUUUCUGCAAGUAUCGUACGAAUAAGGAUCGGCUAACUCCGUGCCAGCAGCCGCGGUAAUACGGAGGGUUCAAGCGUUAUCCGGCUUUAUUGGGUUUAAAGGGUGCGUAGGCGGUCGGAUAAGUUAGAGGUGAAAUCCCGAGGCUCAACCUCGGAAUUGCCUCUGAUACUGGUCGGCUAGAGAGUAGUUGCGGUAGGCGGAAUGUAUGGUGUAGCGGUGAAAUGCUUAGAGAUCACACAGAACACCGAUUGCGAAGGCAGCUUACCAAGCUACUUCUGACGUUGAGGCACGAAAGCGUGGGGAGCAAACAGGAUUAGAUACCCGAGUAGUC